UACGUAGGGUGCAAGCGUUAAUCGGAAUUAUUGGGCGUAAAGAGCUCGUAGGCGGUGUGUCACGUCGGCCGUGAAAACCUGCAGCUUAACUGUGGGCGUGCGGUCGAUACGGGCAUCACUGGAGUUCGGCAGGGGAGACUGGAAUUCCUGGUGUAGCGGUGAAAUGCGCAGAUAUCAGGAGGAACACCGGUGGCGAAGGCGGGUCUCUGGGCCGAUACUGACGCUGAGGAGCGAAAGCGUGGGGAGCAAACAGG
Molecule: ribosomal RNA, 254 nt
Filed under: uncultured bacterium
Lineage: Bacteria
Description: partial 16S ribosomal RNA
Rfam family: Bacterial small subunit ribosomal RNA
Source: RNAcentral